Molecule: transfer RNA, 69 nt
Filed under: Ictidomys tridecemlineatus (thirteen-lined ground squirrel)
Lineage: Eukaryota; Metazoa; Chordata; Mammalia; Rodentia; Sciuridae
Description: Spermophilus tridecemlineatus (thirteen-lined ground squirrel) tRNA
Rfam family: tRNA
About the family: Transfer RNA (tRNA) molecules are approximately 80 nucleotides in length. Their secondary structure includes four short double-helical elements and three loops (D, anti-codon, and T loops).
Source: Rfam by way of RNAcentral
GGGAUUGUGGCUUAGAGGUAGAGUGCUCGCCUAGCACGCGUGAGGCACUGAGUUCGACCCUCAGCACCA